This 423-nucleotide ribosomal RNA is filed under the name uncultured bacterium. Its description in RNAcentral is "bacterial SSU rRNA". It matches the Rfam family "Bacterial small subunit ribosomal RNA", at positions 207 to 622 of the family's 1533-position model. The record is from RNAcentral.
AAGACCUUGCGCUUUUGGAGUGGCCGAUGCCUGAUUAGCUAGUUGGUGGGGUAAGGGCCUACCAAGGCAACGAUCAGUAGUUGGUCUGAGAGGACGACCAGCCACACUGGGACUGAGACACGGCCCAGACUCCUACGGGAGGCAGCAGUGGGGAAUUUUGGACAAUGGGCGAAAGCCUGAUCCAGCAAUGCCGCGUGAGUGAAGAAGGCCUUCGGGUUGUAAAGCUCUUUCAGUCGAGAAGAAAAGGUUGUGACUAAUAAUCACAACUUAUGACGGUACCGACAGAAGAAGCACCGGCUAACUACGUGCCAGCAGCCGCGGUAAUACGUAGGGUGCGAGCGUUAAUCGGAAUUACUGGGCGUAAAGGGUGCGCAGGCGGCUUUGUAAGUCAGAUGUGAAAUCCCCGGGCUUAACCUGGGAAUU